GACGAACGCUGGCGGCGUGCUUAACACAUGCAAGUCGAACGGAAAGGCCCUGCUUUUGUGGGGUGCUCUAGUGGCGAACGGGUGAGUAACACGUGAGUAACCUGCCCUUGACUUUGGGAUAACUUCAGGAAACUGGGGCUAAUACCGGAUAGGAGCUCCUGCUGCAUGGUGGGGGUUGGAAAGUUUCGGCGGUUGGGGAUGGACUCGCGGCUUAUCAGCUUGUUGGUGGGGUAGUGGCUUACCAAGGCUUUGACGGGUAGCCGGCCUGAGAGGGUGACCGGCCACAUUGGGACUGAGAUACGGCCCAGACUCCUACGGGAGGCAGCAGUGGGGAAUAUUGCACAAUGGGCGGAAGCCUGAUGCAGCAACGCCGCGUGCGGGAUGACGGCCUUCGGGUUGUAAACCGCUUUCGCCUGUGACGAAGCGUGAGUGACGGUAAUGGGUAAAGAAGCACCAGCUAACUACGUG
RNAcentral lists this ribosomal RNA (468 nucleotides) under uncultured bacterium. RNAcentral's name for it is "partial 16S ribosomal RNA". It matches the Rfam family "Bacterial small subunit ribosomal RNA", at positions 28 to 507 of the family's 1533-position model. The record is from RNAcentral.